Molecule: ribosomal RNA, 380 nt
Filed under: Rhizopus arrhizus
Lineage: Eukaryota; Fungi; Mucoromycota; Mucoromycetes; Mucorales; Rhizopodaceae
Description: SSU rRNA
Rfam family: Eukaryotic small subunit ribosomal RNA
Source: RNAcentral
GUUAGUGUUGGCGCACGAAUCUUCACAUGUUGCCGGACAAUGCAAAUAACUUUAGUCCUAUUUUCGUUGGUUUAGGUACUUCAGUAAUGAUGAAUAGAAACGGUUAGGGGCAUUUGUAUUUGGUCGCUAGAGGUGAAAUUCUUGGAUUGACCGAAGACAAACUACUGCGAAAGCAUUUGACCCGGGACGUUUUCAUUGAUCAAGGUCUAAAGUUAAGGGAUCGAAGACGAUUAGAUACCGUCGUAGUCUUAACCACAAACUAUGCCGACUAGAGAUUGGGCGUGUUUAUUAUGACUCGCUCAGCAUCUUAGCGAAAGUAAAGUUUUUGGGUUCUGGGGGGAGUAUGGGACGCAAGGCUGAAACUUAAAGAAUUGACGGAA